AACGCCGCGUGGGUGAAGAAGUUUUUCGGAACGUAAAGCCCUGUCAUGAGGGAAGAAUGUCUUGAUGUUUAAGAGAUGUCGAGAGUGACGGUACCUUAUAAGAAAGCUCCGGCUAACUACGUGCCAGCCACCUCGGUGACUGAGCGGGCUGGCAAGGCGCAUA
RNAcentral lists this ribosomal RNA (163 nucleotides) under uncultured bacterium. RNAcentral's name for it is "partial 16S ribosomal RNA". It matches the Rfam family "Bacterial small subunit ribosomal RNA", at positions 393 to 539 of the family's 1533-position model. The record is from RNAcentral.